GUUCAGCCAAACACCCACGCUGGCAAUGCUCCUUCCGUGUCCUCCCCCAAAUCCACGCCAGAGCUUCUUCCCCGCGAGAACCGGAUCUCGCUGACCGGAUCUUCCAUGAUCGCGCGAUUCCGUCGCCAGCUGAAGUCGUUGCGAUCCCUCCGCCUCCCAAGCCGCAAGCUCAAAGAUAAACCGUUUUCCCGUGACCAGAGGUCCGCCCACUACAAGUCAUCGCCCUCUCUGUACUCUUUUUGUCUCUCUCACCAUUUAUCCGCUUCCCAUCCCUGCUACCUCCUUGGCGCAAACCCCUAUCCUCCCUCUAGCCACUGGUUCUCGACCAGAUCGCGGGUACCUGCGUCCUCACCAUACAUACUCUAGGGGCGGGCGCUACUUCUGUCGUGGUGCCGUUCCCGGUGGCAAUGGCGUACACCGGCUCGGCCAUUGGCGCACGUCGUCCGGGCUUCCUCGCCGACGAGCGGCCGCCGUAGCUGACGACCUGCACGCCCAGCCCGUGACUCCGGCGCGGGCGGGGUUGGCCGACAAUGGGCCGUGGGGACGUAGUUCUGUGUUGGCUGCGAUUCCUCACCAACGUACCCGUCCGCCCGGUCGUCUGCCGAUUAGGCCACCGCCCCAACCCCGAUGCCAUGGGGAGGUUCUCCGGUGGGCACUAGAAGCAUUUGCGGCACGAUUGGGCGUCAGGGACAAUCAUGGCGAGCAGGAUUCCUCAUCGGCGCCUGUGUAUCACCAUCGUUCGCAGCCCACCGUGGGUGGAGGUCUCCACGACAUGACCAACGAGAGUUUUCGAGCCACCUGAAGAUCACCUUGGUUACUGGAAUCUCAAGUGGCAGGCAAGUUGUGCCCUUGAUCACUUUUGUUUACCCAAUAAUGUUCUUUAUUAUCACUAUUCAUGCAUAGACUUAAUUUUGAUGAGACCCAAUAGGUCACCCUAGUCUGUUUAUCUUGUUUACUUUGUUACCCCUGAAUCACAUGGGUAGUUUCUGCUAUUGCUUUAUAUGUUUUUGGGAUUAUUAUUUCAUUAUAUCCAUGUUCCAAUUAUUCUGUUAUGUUAUUUAUGUUAAUGUCAAGAUCAUUAAUGUUAAUUGGAACAUGGAGCUUAACUUGAGAAACACGUGCCACCACAAGGGUUUAAUGGGACGCCCUUGGCCAACUAACUAGGAAAGCUAGUGGAAGACUACCUUACCCGAAAGGGGCAAGGGCAGUAGGGGAGUUGCAUGCAAGGAGGUUGUCGGGUUGAUUUUACUGCGAUGGCGGUCAGGCGAGGGAUUCUUGCAAGUGCUCUUCCCAUAAACUGUAGUGGGUUUUCGGAAGCUAGUGGAACUUUGUAAAGGCCUCGUAGUGGAUCCCUAGCCAUUCACCUCGGUAGUGUCUAAGGGCCUUGCAAAUCCUAGCGACAUGGGAUACACGACUUGUGGGUACAGGGUACAACCUCUGCAGAGUGUAAAACUGGUAUACUAACCGAGCUCACGGUCAUGAGCAGCUUAGGACUCUCGCAUGAUUAAAUAUGGAACCUAAACUUAAUUUAUCAUUUGCAUUUGCAUUUGCAUGGGAUUUAUUAUUAAUUUUGUUCUAUUAUUAUUUUUAUUAUGGUUUGAUAUUUACUUACAUUUAGUAACUGCUAAUAAAAUUUUGACCAACUUAUAAAAGCAAUGCUCAGCUUCAACCUUUAUUUUGUUGAUCAGCCUUACACUUCACAUGAACUCCAACCUUUUGCGAGUUCAUGCCACAUUAUUCUCCACAACUUGUUGAUCGAUGAACAUGUGUGAGCUCACCCUUGCUGUCUCACACCCCCACAGGAGAAGUACAUGUGGUUCAAGUGGAGCCACGUAUCGAGGAGUUCGAUUCGAUCUAGGUGGCGUCUCCUAGUUGACUUGCGCCAAGGACGAUCCUUAGAGCAUCUCCAAGAGCUCCUAAAAAAUAUCACCCAAUAAUUAGAAAUUGGGACGUCUUUAAACAUUUUGUUCCAAAAAAAUAAGAUGUACUCCAACACCUCCCUUUAAUUUCCCUAAAUAUCUGUUAAACCUAGUGUCGCGAGGCCUGUGUUCCUUCUGGUAAACAUAGACAGAAGAAGCAUUUUUGUAUUCCUUCUAUGGCUGUGUUUACCCAAUAAACAGGAAAAAUUAGUACACCAAAACAAAAGCUGAUGCAUCCAAACAAAGAAUACAAAGAAUACUACGUGGCUGUUUGUUUCAGCUUCUGGGCGGCUUCUGGCCACCAGAAGCUGAAGCUGUAUCCAAACAGCCAGCUUCUGAGGCGGCUUUUCGUCGUAGCGCUUCGGAUAGAAGCCGAGCGCACACAGUCCGCACGAAGCCGCCCUCACUUCGCUUCUAACGGAAGCCCCCACCCACUUCGCUAGGGUUUAGGCGACGAAACGCGCCUCCGCCGCCGCCAACGAACCCGCCGCCGCUGCGCACCCAACGGACCGCCGCCAGGUCGAUCUCCUCCCCGCAACAGGUACGGCCCACUCCUCGGCGACCUCGUCCUUUCCUGUCCGUUGGUUUUCCUCUCCACUGCGGCGUCUCAAUCCCGUCUUCGCUAGGGUUCGUGCACCCUCGGCCGAGCCUCAGAGUCGUCGAGAAGGAACCUUCUUCCCCCGUCGUCGGAGGUACGUGAGCUCUUUCCUCCAUCCGGCCCUCCCAUUCUCCACCUUCGCCGCGGUGGGAGACUUGACCGUUUACUGUCCGUAGCGUUGGCUCACUCACACCGGCGACGUCGCUCCGUCUUCCUCUGGUUCCCCCCGUCGCGUCGGCAUCUUCCGAGAAAUCCGUACCAACUCGGUAUCUGCGUAUUCGCUUCCAAGAUCAACAACAGCCAAGGUAAUUACAUACACAAAUUGUUAGAGUCCCCAUGGGUUAACAAAUUAUGUGUUUACGGUUUACAGGGAUUACCAUCGUUCUGUUGUAUAACCCAAUUAUUUCUGGAGUCUUGACUUGUUAGUUUGUUUGUUCACAACAAGUUUGUUAAUAGUACGUGUUCAUACUUGUAUUUGUUAGUACCUCUAUGGUAGCUUCAACCAAAUGUUGUCCAUGUUAGAACGCAAUUGAUGUCAAUACAUGCAAGUUAGUAUCCCCUUGUUAGUUCACUAACAACCUAAAUCCACAUCAGAUGGAUUCAGCAGACUCCAUAGCCGACAAGGCAAUUGGAAGGAUGCAAGAGAUUGCGGACAAGAUAUUUUCCGUAGCUCGGGAAACAAUCCGUCCAGGACGCGGGUUGACCUCUUUUGAGGCUACCAAACUUCGUGUAGCAUUGGAGGACAUUGCUUGCAUGCUUGAGCAAGACUCUCUGGUGUUGCAAGAGAACCUAGACAUCGUGAACAACGUAAACAACCCGGGUGACAGCAACUACGAACCGUCAGCCUUGUCCUCACCACCCCCAGCUGACGAGUACCUUAGGCCAGAUUGGGACUUUGCUGAUCACUUUGCAAACUUCUGGGGUCUUGAAUAUGACUCGGACCAGAUGCCAUCGUUUAGUGAUAAUGAAGUUUAAGUUAGACCUUGUUAGAGUAAGUUGUUCGAGGUCAUCAAGUUUAAGUUAGAACUUGUUAGAGGCAGGUGUUAGGGUCACAGGGAAAGAUCAGCCUUUUGCUUCCUGCGCAGUUCUGAAGUGUUCCCUGUUCUUUUGUGUGCACCAGCACUUUAAUUUGGUCAGUCUAUAUAUGUAAUUAUGGCAAACGAAUGUGACUCCUUAAGGUAGUACUUUAUGUUAUUAUUACCUGUUCAUUUUGUUGUCGUAGUAACUGCACUUCAAUACAUAUUUUCAAUCGUCUACACUUGUUUUGCACUAGAUGGACAAGUCUGGCAAGGUCAUUGCUAAGUGGGAUAGUAGAGCAACAAAAAUUUACACAGAAAUAUGUGUAGAAGAGGUGAAUGCACGGAACAGGCCACAACAAUUCCUAAACGCCGAAGGGUAUGCUAACCUGAUAAGAAAGUUUAAGGAACGCACUGGUCGCACGUACACAAGGGAUCAAAUGAAAAAUAGGUGGGACUCGUUGAAGAGAAUGUUCACCUAGUGGAAAACUCUAAAUGAAAGGGCUACAGGUCUUGGUCGAGACCCUCAUACUGGUUCAAUCAGUGCGCCAGAUGAGUGGUGGGCCAAGCAAAAUGAAGUAGAUCUUUUUUUUGUUUUGUAGACUAACAAUAGUAUUUGGCCAUCUCAAACUAGGAACUACCAUGUUGGUGCAGGCAAUGCCAGGUUGUAUUAUGUUCAAAACAACCCCCCUAGAGAAUGAGGAUGAGCUAAAGGUUAUGUUUGGACCCAUUGUCUGCACAAAUGAAAGAACCCUGGUUCCUGGAGUCGAGGAUGCUAAUUCAUCAUCUGAUGAUCAUUUGGAAGCCACUUUAGGUGGGGGUGAAAACAGCACACCUGACCCCUGCACAAAUGCUAGUGGGAAGCGUAAGAUGCGCCAUGAUUCUCCAAAACCAAAGAAGAAAAAAGAUUCGAGGGAAGAGUACAUGAGAAGACUAGUGGAGGCUUUUGAGUCGCGUUCAAUGACCACUAACAAGUCCAUUACCUCUGCUGACAAUGACUCUGUUCGACUUGAGAUUAAAAAGCAGUUGCAACAAGUUAUGGAUGAUGGAUCACCAGAAGGCAGCCAAAUACAUUUGUUUGCCACUCAUCUAUUGACUGAGAAAAAGUAUAGAGAUAUUUUUGCAAACUUGCAGACAAAAGAAGGAAGGAUCGCUUGGCUUCGCAAUGCUUACGAGAUAGAUCUUAAAAAGUGCACUUAGCUGCUGGUGGUCCGACAACAGAGGCUUAUUCAGUAUUACCGUUGUUUCUGUCUGUUUUAUGAGUCUUGUCGUUUCAUUGUUGUGAGUAAUAAACUUGUCGUGCGCUUCAGUUUCCCUUUCAAACAAUUUUCUAGAUAUUCGAGUUGAACUUGUAUUUGAAUAAUCAGAGUUGUCUGCUUGUGAACAAUGUGAACGUUCUGUCUCAUUUGAAUACUGAAUAUAUAUGUGGCUUGUAAACUGUGGUUGUACAUUGAUAUGUCACUUAUAAAGUGUUGUUACAUAUGAAUAUGUCUCUGUUUUUUAUG
RNA transcript from Zea mays, 5038 nucleotides. It is a transcript of the gene named putative nuclease HARBI1, with no coding region annotated. Lineage: Eukaryota; Viridiplantae; Streptophyta; Magnoliopsida; Poales; Poaceae. The record is from RefSeq and is a predicted model, not a curated record. The transcript is spliced from 3 exons.